GACGAACGCUGGCGGCGUGCUUAACACAUGCAAGUCGAACGGAAAGGCCCUGCUUUUGUGGGGUGCUCGAGUGGCGAACGGGUGAGUAACACGUGAGUAACCUGCCCUUGACUUUGGGAUAACUUCAGGAAACUGGGGCUAAUACCGGAUAGGAGCUCCUGCUGCAUGGUGGGGGUUGGAAAGUUUCGGCGGUUGGGGAUGGACUCGCGGCUUAUCAGCUUGUUGGUGGGGUAGUGGCUUACCAAGGCUUUGACGGGUAGCCGGCCUGAGAGGGUGACCGGCCACAUUGGGACUGAGAUACGGCCCAGACUCCUACGGGAGGCAGCAGUGGGGAAUAUUGCACAAUGGGCGGAAGCCUGAUGCAGCAACGCCGCGUGCGGGAUGACGGCCUUCGGGCGGUAAACCGCUUUCGCCUGUGACGAAGCGUGAGUGACGGUAAUGGGUAAAGAAGCACCGGCUAACUACGU
This 467-nucleotide ribosomal RNA is filed under the name uncultured bacterium. RNAcentral describes it as "partial 16S ribosomal RNA". It matches the Rfam family "Bacterial small subunit ribosomal RNA", at positions 28 to 506 of the family's 1533-position model. The record is from RNAcentral.